CCUACGGGUGACAGCAGUGAGGAAUAUUGGUCAAUGGGAGAGAUCCUGAACCAGCCAAGCCGCGUGAGGGAAGACGGCCCUAUGGGUUGUAAACCUCUUUUGUCGGAGAACAAAACCCGGGACGUGUCCCGGACUGCGUGUAUCCGAAGAAAAAGCAUCGGCUAACUCCGUGCCAGCAGCCGCGGUAAUACGGAGGAUGCGAGCGUUAUCCGGAUUUAUUGGGUUUAAAGGGUGCGUAGGCGGUCCGUUAAGUCAGCGGUAAAAUGGCGGGGCUCAACCCCGGCGAGCCGUUGAAACUGGCAGACUCGAGUUGGCGAGAAGUACGCGGAAUGCGCGGUGUAGCGGUGAAAUGCAUAGAUAUCGCGCAGAACUCCGAUUGCGAAGGCAGCGUGCCGGCGCCAGACUGACGCUGAGGCACGAAAGCGUGGGGAUCGAACAGGAUUAGAUACCCUUGUAGUC
This 459-nucleotide ribosomal RNA is filed under the name uncultured bacterium. Its description in RNAcentral is "partial 16S ribosomal RNA". It matches the Rfam family "Bacterial small subunit ribosomal RNA", at positions 338 to 795 of the family's 1533-position model. The record is from RNAcentral.